CACGAUGGACAACUCACGCGCAAUGAGCUCGAUCUCGUCUGAUCUUGCAAGCUAAGCAGCCUCGAGCCUGGAUAGUGCUGGCAUUGGCGCCGGCGAUGCACGCCAGGUUGUCACGCGC
This 118-nucleotide ribosomal RNA is filed under the name Petromyzon marinus (sea lamprey). Lineage: Eukaryota; Metazoa; Chordata; Hyperoartia; Petromyzontiformes; Petromyzontidae. The record is from RNAcentral.